RNAcentral lists this transfer RNA (76 nucleotides) under Dickeya chrysanthemi. RNAcentral describes it as "tRNA-Ala". It matches the Rfam family "tRNA". From Rfam's summary of the family: Transfer RNA (tRNA) molecules are approximately 80 nucleotides in length. Their secondary structure includes four short double-helical elements and three loops (D, anti-codon, and T loops). Further hydrogen bonds mediate the characteristic L-shaped molecular structure. tRNAs have two regions of fundamental functional importance: the anti-codon, which is responsible for specific mRNA codon recognition, and the 3' end, to which the tRNAs corresponding amino acid is attached (by aminoacyl-tRNA synthetases). tRNAs cope with the degeneracy of the genetic code in two manners: having more than one tRNA (with a specific anti-codon) for a particular amino acid; and 'wobble' base-pairing, i.e. permitting non-standard base-pairing at the 3rd anti-codon position. The record is from RNAcentral. Lineage: Bacteria; Pseudomonadati; Pseudomonadota; Gammaproteobacteria; Enterobacterales; Pectobacteriaceae. RNAcentral also lists the same sequence under 1 other name.
GGGGCUAUAGCUCAGCUGGGAGAACGCCUGCUUUGCACGCAGGAGGUCUGCGGUUCGAUCCCGCAUAGCUCCACCA